This is a long non-coding RNA of Cyprinus carpio (common carp), 1012 nucleotides long. NCBI's taxonomy places the organism in Eukaryota, Metazoa, Chordata, Actinopteri, Cypriniformes, Cyprinidae. The record is from Ensembl.
AUGUGCGACUCCUUGGUCGCUCUUAAGAAGGAGGAGGAAAAUAAGAAAAAACCUUGGUCUCGGGCUCUGUCCCCAGAUAAGGUGUUGGAGGCUGCUAGACAAGCUGUAUUGCGCCAGGGUGAAGACCCGAGCAAUAAGAAAUAUGUUCUGGGGCUACAUGAAAUGCAGUUUGGUGUGUUCAAAGGCCAGACAUUUAAGUGGGCUGCUGAAAAUGCCCUCGGUUAUGCUGGAUAUUUGGUGGCAAGUAUGAGGAGGGAAUCAGCUGAUAUCAAAGACUCCAAAAAUCACCAUGCUAAUAAAGCAGCCUUUGCAGAGUACAUAGGACUUUUCCCAGAGGGUCGUGAGGCCAUUCGUAUCAAAACUGAAAACAUGGGUUGCCCAUCCUUCCAGGAUAUGUCCCCGCAGAAGUCUCCCAGUGCCCCACAGUCCUUACCUUCAGUCUCCUCUGGCCCCCACAUUUGCAUUGUGGUCCCCAGGGGCCCGCCAAAUGACAUACUGAGGACCUGGGUUCUAAAGUGAAAAGAAUAUUUUUUGGGCUCUUACAAAAAAUCUCUGCUGCAGGCCUCUCUCUCUUAUACGCAGCAAGACCCUUUUGAGAAUUUUAAGUUGGGGAAGCUCAAUUGUUUCUGCAAUGGCCUAGAGCCCCGUGGUUUGGGGCCGUGUGUCAGGGGCCCCUACUUAAUCAGAAUCCCAAAUCUUGAGGUCCUACGACUUGUCAUCUCUGAACAGGAGACGUCCCACUUGGUAACUAAUCGUGUAGUAGUUUGGCAGACACGUGGUCCCUUUUUAGACCUUUUGACCCCUAAAUGAGGUCGUAGGGUCACCAAACUUUUCCGCCCAUUCGAGGGGCCCGUGAUGAUACGCAAAUGGGACCCUCGGGUCGAUUGGACCUUCCUAAGCCAUGUCCAUAAAGUUACAAUGGUAAAUCCAUUCAAAUAGGUUGAGAGUGGAUUUUUUUAGAAGGAUCCCAGUGGCCCCAAAUUUUGCACCAUGGCCCCCGGGGGUCCCUUCA